This 283-nucleotide ribosomal RNA is filed under the name uncultured bacterium. RNAcentral describes it as "partial 16S ribosomal RNA". It matches the Rfam family "Bacterial small subunit ribosomal RNA", at positions 335 to 610 of the family's 1533-position model. The record is from RNAcentral.
GCUCCUACGGGAGGCAGCAGUAGGGAAUCUUCCACAAUGGGCGAAAGCCUGAUGGAGCAACGCCGCGUGGGUGAAGACGGUCUUCGGAUCGUAAAACCCUUUUGUUAGAGAAGAAAGUGCGUGAGAGUAACUGUUCACGUUUCGACGGUAUCUAACCAGAAAGCCACGGCUAACUACGUUCCAGCAGCCGCGUUAAUACGUAGGUGGCAAGCGUUAUCCGGAUUUAUUGGGCGUAAAGAGAACUCUGGCGGUCUCUUAAGUCUGAUACGAAAGCCUUCGGCUU